Molecule: long non-coding RNA, 921 nt
Filed under: Homo sapiens (human)
Lineage: Eukaryota; Metazoa; Chordata; Mammalia; Primates; Hominidae
Description: novel transcript
Source: RNAcentral
GGUGCAUGCCACCAUGCCUGGCUAGGCUUGUGAAAUUUCUAUACAACAACCUCAUUUCUCUGUUUCUUACAUUCUAAACUCCCACGAACAUUUCAGAAUGGAUGGGUAUAUCAUACCUUAUUUAACCAGCAUCCUAUUGUUGGACUGUUAGGUUUUUCUAUCAAAAAUAACCCUGUGAUGAGCCUCUUGAAAUUGCUGUCUUUGCAUGGAUCCACUAUAUUUCCUUUGGAUAAUUCCAAAAACGAACAAUGGAAUUGCAUAUUCCAAAUCCAGAACAGUCUCAGCAUGGCUGCCGUUUUCUCGUUUCUUUGUGAAGCAUCCCGGUCCAGGCUGCCAGCCUCACGUUAUUUGAUUGUUUUCGGAACAGCCGGCAGGGGGCGCGCAUCAGCCGUUCCCAGCACUCAGGCGAGGGGUUCUGACUCCCCAGGUUAAAAGAAUUCGAGGCAGCAUUCUUCCUGAAGGCCUUUUGUUAUUAGUUUGCUUCUCAAAGUCAUCUUCCGAAUCCUGCUGUGCUAAGCAUCACCCCAGCUCAGCCCAGUUAUGAAUUUCAUUGCUGAGCUCUGAGCCCAGGUUGUCUGGCAGCAUUUCUGAUUGUAAUCAGUUUUGUGCAGUGAGAUCACCUUGCUGACCACGAGCGGUGGCUCCCAGCACUGCAAAGAUAUGUGUGGGGCCGGCCUGCUUUUGUGACUGCAGCAUUCACCCUUCAGGGGACAGACAGCGGCUCUUGCUGUCUCAAUGCCACUGGAAGAACUCCAAAGGGUGCCUGGAGGACCAGCUUGGACUUUCAGUUCUGUUGCUUACGAGUGUGUGACCUUGGACAUGUUGUGCGUCUCUCUGCCUCUCGGUUCUGUGACCUGGGCAUAGUUAACACCUGCUUUUGAGGUCUUGUGAGGAAUAAAUGAGACAUUUUAUUGAAACAGC